Molecule: ribosomal RNA, 427 nt
Filed under: uncultured Acidobacterium sp.
Lineage: Bacteria; Pseudomonadati; Acidobacteriota; Terriglobia; Terriglobales; Acidobacteriaceae
Description: bacterial SSU rRNA
Rfam family: Bacterial small subunit ribosomal RNA
Source: RNAcentral
AACGCGAAGAACCUUACCUGGGCUCGAAGCGCAGUGGACCGGGGUAGAAAUAUCCCUUUUCGCAAGAACUGCUGCGGAGGUGCUGCAUGGCUGUCGUCAGCUCGUGUCGUGAGAUGUUGGGUUAAGUCCCGCAACGAGCGCAACCCUUAUCGUUAGUUGCCAACGGGUCAAGCCGGGAACUCUAGCGAAACCGCCUCGGAUAACGGGGAGGAAGGUGGGGAUGACGUCAAGUCCUCAUGGCCUUUAUGUCCAGGGCUACACACGUGCUACAAUGGCCGGUACAAACCGUCGCAAACCCGUGAGGGGGAGCUAAUCGGAAAAAGCCGGCCUCAGUUCGGAUUGGAGUCUGCAAUUCGACUCCAUGAAGCUGGAAUCGCUAGUAAUCGCGGAUCAGAACGCCGCGGUGAAUACGUUCCCGGGCCUUGUA